This 199-nucleotide long non-coding RNA is filed under the name Elaeis guineensis (African oil palm). RNAcentral describes it as "long non-coding RNA (EGUI_LNC082260)". The record is from RNAcentral. Lineage: Eukaryota; Viridiplantae; Streptophyta; Magnoliopsida; Arecales; Arecaceae.
GGCAUACAACGAUCUACACUUGAUAUAGCUAUCAUCCUAAUAAUAGCAUAUUGUUUGACCGUGAAUAAGGUUUAAGGACUAAACGAUAUAUCCUCCUAUAUCGAUUCAAAUAGUCCUAAGGACUUCAUGAUUUUUCCCCUUUCCAUGCGUUCUUCAUUGACUUCUCUGAUACCAUAUUAAUUAUCACGCCCCCGGCCCA